UCGUCCGCCGCAGAUCCGGCACCGUCCUGCUCCUCCUCGCCGCCAUACUCGCAGCGGCCGUCGUCGCCUCCGCCUCCGCCAUCAGCGACAAGUGCGCCGCCUGCAAGGCCGUCGCGGUGAGCUCCUCCCCUAAUCUCCCCUGAUCAAAGGUUGCAGCCGGAUUGGAUUCUUCUUGCACCUUCUUGCCAAGUUGCCAGUAUAAUCUGGGUGACAUGAGUUUGCACUCCUCUGUCCACCCGUUUGAGCACAGAAUUUUGUCAAAUUUAUAUACAGUUGGUUGCACUCAGAGUAGCCUUGUUAACCGAAGCCUUUGGGUCGCGUCAAAAAAUAAAUAUAGAAAGCCUUUGGGAGGUGAAGAUCUGCUUGCUAGGAGUUUAACUGUAGAUAUUCAGUAGGAGCAUUGGUUUCUGGCAAAAUUAUGUUGUUUCUUGUCUUAAUCAGCUAUAAUCAGAAGAUGCAUCUACGCCCAGUUUGGUGCCUGGCAAAACUUGAUUUUUAUUUUUGUAGAACGAUCGAUGUUAGUAAAAAAUUGUUCAUGGAUCAAAGGUUGGCAAGGUUUACCACCGUACUAUAUAAAUGGCGCUACCUCCCAGAUGCAUGUGAGAGGGGGUGUUUUACUUUCAUUGCUUUAAUGUGUAGAAUUAUUAUACAGAUUAGGUUGGAUUGUUUUCUUGCUCUUAAGAUGGCAUUUUAUCUAAUUCCCUUCUCUUUGUUGUAAUAGUUCACAGUGGCAGCAGUAGUGAACUACUAAGUACAUGCAUUUUCUUCUCGUGUUAACAUUUCUCUAUUAUUCACCAGCUUAGGUCUGAAGCACUUGUCACUCUCAAUGUGUGGUCGAUAUGGAAUUUAAGGCCAUAUGUCAUCCUGAGAUAGUUAGAUGCACAUGCUUGGUUCAUCCUGUUUGUUGAGGAUGAUAUAUAUGUUCCCUUUAUCUGUUUUGUGCAAAUGGAGUUCUGUAUGAAAGUGAUAUUUGUGGCUGCUAGAGCAACUCUCAAGAAUUGCUCUAGGGUAUGCAUUUUUCUGUUGUGAAAGUUCUGUCCUGUUGCUUGUGAAAGUUCUGUCCUGUUGCAUAUAGAAUUUCGACUUCAAAUAAAGAGCUGAAUACGAGUUAUGUAGGUUGGUGUUCCAAGUUUUAACAUUUUUUUAUGUUAUCCUGGCAGGAAAGUGGAGCAGCUAUCUGAGGAGGUUGAGGAAUGUCUACCUCAGAGGGUUCUGAGACUGCCGAUUCCAUGGAUGAGGAUACGAGUCAAGUAUCACAUGGUAGAAGGUCCAAAGUGGUUUAGCAUGGUGGUGCGGAAGUGCCUCGGCUUGGCUGGGGGAGCUACACACCUUAUCCACAUUGAUGAUCGAUGGGGUUCUGUUUCUGAUUGCUGAUCGAUGGGGUUAUGUUUCAUGUUAAGUGCUACCUGAUGUGAACUAGCUACUAAGUCAAGUGUUUAGUCUAAGCGUCCGAAGAAGGUCCGUUAGGUUACUAUAUCGAUAUGCUGCUGUAAGACUGUAGGUUUUGAGAUGCCUGGAAACAUCACAGGCUUAAACUACUUGGUUUAAUCACCUUGUGUUUGGUAUUCAUCUUGUGGAUGCA
Hordeum vulgare subsp. vulgare (domesticated barley) is the source of this 1582-nucleotide long non-coding RNA. RefSeq lists it as uncharacterized. The transcript has 2 exons. Lineage: Eukaryota; Viridiplantae; Streptophyta; Magnoliopsida; Poales; Poaceae. The record is from RefSeq and is a predicted model, not a curated record.